CAGUCGUACCGGCGGAUAAUCAGCCUUUCGGGUGCGAUUCUGUGGGGCGUGAGGAGCUUAACCGCCUUUCAUGUUUUGCAUAUUCGUGCACAUUUGGUGUACUUGUCCGUGUGGUGGGUUAACAUCAACUUCGGUCGUCAUAAAAUGAUUGGAGGAAUGUAGCUUUAGAUACUUCGUAUCGAAGUGUUAUAGACUCUGGUAGAUGUGACGAUUGGGAUUGAGGUAUUGACAACGGAUACCCUUCGGGGCUACCCGUCUGAUC
This 262-nucleotide ribosomal RNA is filed under the name Rhizophagus intraradices. Lineage: Eukaryota; Fungi; Glomeromycota; Glomeromycetes; Glomerales; Glomeraceae. The record is from RNAcentral.